This 703-nucleotide non-coding RNA is filed under the name Pan troglodytes (chimpanzee). The record is from RNAcentral. Lineage: Eukaryota; Metazoa; Chordata; Mammalia; Primates; Hominidae.
AUGCAGCCGGCACGCACCUCUCCUCUGACGGGAACCGAAGGAGCCGGUAGGUUUUCACACUUGCAGCAGAUCAGCUAAGAGAACGCGGGAUUCAGCCGAGAAGCCACUGGGAGCCCGAGGAGCGGAGCAGAGGCACCCAGGCAGCCUGCGCGGAGAAAUCGGAUAGGCGGGGACGGCCUGCAGCUCCCGCGCGCGGGGAAAGGGAAGAAGUCCUCCCCUACAAAGCAAAUUCACAAACUUGGAAGAAGCAAUUUACACAGGAUGCGCAGAUCUCAACGGAAGGACACGGGAAACGUGAAAAAGCAAGGAAGUGGGACGCCUCCAAAGGAACCCAGUAAUUCUCCAGCAACAGAUCCCCAUCCAAAAGAAAUUCAAGAAAUGUCAUAUAGAGAAUUGUGGAAACUGAUUUUAACCAAGAUUAGAGGGAUUCAAGAGACUUCUGAAAAAGAAAGUAAGGAAAUGUCAACAGCAAUUCUGGAUAUGGUUGAGGUAUUUACCAACCAGAUAGAGUUUUCCAGAGCACAUGGCAAAUGUGGAACUGAAGAAAUCACUGGAUGAAAUACAAAGUAUACUCGAAAGCUUCAAUGAUAGACUAGAUCAAGCAGAAAAAAAACUCUCAAAACUUAAAAUCUGAAGCCUUUUACUCAAUUCAAAUAUUUAAUGGGUUGUACUCUGGCCAUUCAGGUGAACAAAAUCUGCUGGG